GACGAACCGUGCGAACGUUAUUCGGAAUCACUGGGCUUAAAGCGCGUGUAGGCGGGACGGCACGUCGGUUGCUGAAAGCCCCCGGCUCAACCGGGGAAGGGGCGCCGAUACGGCCGACCUGGAGGGACGUAGGGGGACCUGGAACUUCCGGUGGAGCGGUGAAAUGCGUUGAGAUCGGAAGGAACGCCCGUGGCGAAAGCGAGGUCCUGGACGUCUGCUGACGCUGAGACGCGAAAGCCAGGGGAGCGAACGGG
Molecule: ribosomal RNA, 254 nt
Filed under: uncultured bacterium
Lineage: Bacteria
Description: partial 16S ribosomal RNA
Rfam family: Bacterial small subunit ribosomal RNA
Source: RNAcentral